GUGGGGAAUAUUGGACAAUGGGCGAAAGCCUGAUCCAGCCAUGCCGCGUGUGUGAAGAAGGCCUUCGGGUUGUAAAGCACUUUAAGCGGGGAGGAAGUACUUGGGGCUAAUACCCCUGAGUGUUGACGUUACCCGCAGAAUAAGCACCGGCUAACUCUGUGCCAGCAGCCGCGGUAAUACAGAGGGUGCAAGCGUUAAUCGGAAUUACUGGGCGUAAAGCGCGCGUAGGCGGUUUGUUAAGUCGGAUGUGAAAUCCCCGGGCUCAACCUGGGCACGGCAUCCGAUACUGGCUGACUAGAGUGUGGGAGAGGAAGGUAGAAUUCCAGGUGUAGCGGUGAAAUGCGUAGAGAUCUGGAGGAAUACCGAUGGCGAAGGCAGCCUUCUGGCCUAACACUGACGCUGAGGUGCGAAAGCAUGGGGAGCAAACAGGAUUAGAUACCCUAGUAGUCC
Molecule: ribosomal RNA, 450 nt
Filed under: uncultured bacterium
Lineage: Bacteria
Description: bacterial SSU rRNA
Rfam family: Bacterial small subunit ribosomal RNA
Source: RNAcentral